AAAUCACCCAAGGCUGCUGCGUGUGGCAGUACAGCCAAGGACAGAGCCACAGCAUUUCACUCAUGCAUCUGCGCUCCUGCUGAAGCCAAACGCAGCCACAGCUGAGGGGAAUGAAGAGGGGAAGCUCUUUUGCAGCAAGCAAUGUGGGAUACUUGAGAAGAGAAAAUGAACUUCCAGUUCCAACAAGACCUGUCCAUAAAUUAUCAGACAGGAUGGGAUCAGAGUGUGACUGAGGGAAGUCACAAGAAAUCUGAAGCUUUUGGUUAUGUUGGCAGCAUGACUUGUGGCUCUGAGCCCAGCUGCAAGGAGAGACGUGUGCCUCCCACCACCUCCUCCCAGAAGGAUGUCAUCAAGGCAGCCCCGCCAGGGACCAGCACCUGGCCAAAUGGAAGAACAGCAAAUGGCUGGGUGGAAAGAUUCCAGACAGGGCUGGACUGGCAGCUGGAUCUUGCCCUCACUAUGUUCUGUGCGCUUAAUAGGUAUUGCAAUUAUCAUGUAAUUAAAGAACAUCAUAACAUGUACAAGUAG
RNAcentral lists this long non-coding RNA (528 nucleotides) under Zonotrichia albicollis (white-throated sparrow). RNAcentral describes it as "lncRNA (ENSZALG00000008765.1)". Lineage: Eukaryota; Metazoa; Chordata; Aves; Passeriformes; Passerellidae. The record is from RNAcentral.